RNAcentral lists this ribosomal RNA (510 nucleotides) under uncultured bacterium. RNAcentral describes it as "partial 16S ribosomal RNA". It matches the Rfam family "Bacterial small subunit ribosomal RNA", at positions 28 to 507 of the family's 1533-position model. The record is from RNAcentral.
GACGAACGCUGGCGGCGUGCUUAACACAUGCAAGUCGAACGAAGAGCGAUGGAAGCUUGCUUCUAUCAAUCUUAGUGGCGAACGGGUGAGUAACGCGUAAUCAACCUGCCCUUCAGAGGGGGACAACAGUUGGAAACGACUGCUAAUACCGCAUACGAUCUGAUCUCGGCAUCGAGGAUAGAUGAAAGGUGGCCUCUACAUGUAAGCUAUCACUGAAGGAGGGGAUUGCGUCUGAUUAGCUAGUUGGAGGGGUAACGGCCCACCAAGGCGAUGAUCAGUAGCCGGUCUGAGAGGAUGAACGGCCACAUUGGGACUGAGACACGGCCCAGACUCCUACGGGAGGCAGCAGUGGGGAAUCUUCCGCAAUGGACGAAAGUCUGACGGAGCAACGCCGCGUGAGUGAUGACGGCCUUCGGGUUGUAAAGCUCUGUUAAUCGGGACGAAAGGCCUUCUUGCGAACAGUUAGAAGGAUUGACGGUACCGGAAGAGAAAGCCACGGCUAACUACGUG